Molecule: RNase P RNA, 389 nt
Filed under: Clostridia bacterium
Lineage: Bacteria; Bacillati; Bacillota; Clostridia
Description: RNase P RNA component class A
Rfam family: Bacterial RNase P class A
About the family: Ribonuclease P (RNase P) is a ubiquitous endoribonuclease, found in archaea, bacteria and eukarya as well as chloroplasts and mitochondria. Its best characterised activity is the generation of mature 5'-ends of tRNAs by cleaving the 5'-leader elements of precursor-tRNAs.
Source: RNAcentral
CCGGUGCGACGCGCGGCCGCGUAAUAUCAUGCCGAAAGGUUUUAUUAUGAGGAAAGUCCGGGCUUCAUAGGGCAGGAUAACGGAUAACGUCCGCCGACAGCUUUCCCCAAGGAUCGCUGUCCGGGAGAGUGCAACAGAGAUAUACCGCUGCGGUCCUCCGCAGUAAGGGUGGAAAGGCGAGGUAAGAGCUCACCGGCUUUGCAGGUAACUGUGAAGCCCUGUAAACCCUAUCCGAAGCAACACCGUAUGCAGGCUUGCUUGCCCGGCUCAUGCCUGCGGGUGGCACGGGAGAGAUCCCGGAGCUGUACGGUAACGUACAGCAAAGAUAGAUGGUCGCGGGAGAGACGAAAGUCUUUUUACAGAACCCGGCUUACAGUUGCACCGGCAUU